AUCCAGCUGACGAGUCCCAAAUACGACGAAACACGCGUCUUGAAU
This is a non-coding RNA of Schistosoma curassoni, 45 nucleotides long. Lineage: Eukaryota; Metazoa; Platyhelminthes; Trematoda; Strigeidida; Schistosomatidae. The record is from Rfam.